GGAGGCAUAGCUCAGCUGGUAGAGCACAUGCCCCACACGCAUGGGGUCGGGGGUUCGAGCCCCUCUGCCUCCACCA
RNAcentral lists this transfer RNA (76 nucleotides) under Oscillospiraceae bacterium. Its description in RNAcentral is "tRNA-Val". It matches the Rfam family "tRNA". Rfam says of the family: Transfer RNA (tRNA) molecules are approximately 80 nucleotides in length. Their secondary structure includes four short double-helical elements and three loops (D, anti-codon, and T loops). The record is from RNAcentral. Lineage: Bacteria; Bacillati; Bacillota; Clostridia; Eubacteriales; Oscillospiraceae.